Molecule: Y RNA, 111 nt
Organism: Callithrix jacchus (white-tufted-ear marmoset)
Lineage: Eukaryota; Metazoa; Chordata; Mammalia; Primates; Cebidae
Rfam family: Y RNA
About the family: Y RNAs are components of the Ro ribonucleoprotein particle (Ro RNP), in association with Ro60 and La proteins. The Y RNAs and Ro60 and La proteins are well conserved, but the function of the Ro RNP is not known.
Source: Ensembl
GGCUGGUCCGAAGGUAGUGAGUUAUCUCAACUGAUUUUUCAGUCAGUUACAGAUCAAACUCCUUGUUCUACUCUUUCCCCACUUCUCACUACUGCACUUGACUAGUCUUUA